CCUACGGGAGGCAGCAGUGAGGAAUAUUGGUCAAUGGCCGGAAGGCUGAACCAGCCAAGCCGCGUGAAGGACGAAGGUGCCAAGCAUUGUAAACUUCUUUUGUCAAGGGACAAAAUCAGGCUCGAGAGCCUGACCGAGGGUACUUGAAGAAAAAGCAUCGGCUAACUCCGUGCCAGCAGCCGCGGUAAUACGGAGGAUGCGAGCGUUAUCCGGAUUUAUUGGGGUUAAAGGGUGGGUAGGCGGGAGGUUAAGUCAGCGGUAAAAGCCCGGGGCUCAACCCCGGUGGGCCGUUGAAACGGGGUGUCUUGAGUGGGCGAGAAGUAUGCGGAAUGCGUGGUGGAGCGGUGAAAUGCAUAGCGAGCACGUAGAACUCAGAUUGAGAAGGAAGAGUACCGGCGACAAACUGAAGCUCAUGCACGAAAGCGUGGGUAGAGAACAGGAUUAGAGACCCUUGUAGUC
RNAcentral lists this ribosomal RNA (459 nucleotides) under uncultured bacterium. RNAcentral describes it as "partial 16S ribosomal RNA". It matches the Rfam family "Bacterial small subunit ribosomal RNA", at positions 338 to 795 of the family's 1533-position model. The record is from RNAcentral.